ACUGGAAGGUGCGGCUGGAUCACCUCCUUU
This 30-nucleotide ribosomal RNA is filed under the name Fragaria moschata. RNAcentral describes it as "partial 16S ribosomal RNA". The record is from RNAcentral. Lineage: Eukaryota; Viridiplantae; Streptophyta; Magnoliopsida; Rosales; Rosaceae.